This 634-nucleotide ribosomal RNA is filed under the name uncultured Tuber. RNAcentral's name for it is "eukaryotic LSU rRNA". The stretch from base 218 to 371 matches the Rfam family "5.8S ribosomal RNA". The record is from RNAcentral. Lineage: Eukaryota; Fungi; Ascomycota; Pezizomycetes; Pezizales; Tuberaceae.
GAGGUAUAGGAUCUCGGGCUGUUCUUCAGGACUCCCACAUAAACACAUUCCCGUGUAUUCUGUCCAUGUUGCUUUCCCAGACCAGUGGCCAUUGCUGCCAGUUCAAGCCCUAACAGGUCACUGGGCUGAGGUGUCUGGGAGAGGGCUCAUUGCUAAACUAUUAUACAAAUUGGUUGUCUGAGAAGGCCAUGUGCCGUAAACUUUUAAAACACGUUAAAACUUUCAACAACGGAUCUCUUGGCUCUCGCAUCGAUGAAGAACGCAGCGAAAUGCGAUAAGUAAUGUGAAUUGCAGAAUUCAGUGAAUCAUCGAAUCUUUGAACGCACAUUGCGCCCUUUGGCAUUCCUUAGGGCAUGCCUGUUCGAGCGUCACUAACAACUACCUCACAUGAAAAUGUGGUAUUGGCCAAAGUGGAUCGUACUUGCACUGCAGGUCUCACUCAGCUGAAAUCAAUGGGCCAGAGAAGUGGACCAUAGCGACGGACUCUCAGAGUGUUUUUGAAACGCUAAACUAGUCUCUAGCAGGUUGAAAUCUGAGCCAAUUGGACCCCCAUUUUAGUCCAAAUAAGUGAUGUUGACCUCGGAUCAGGUAGGGAUACCCGCUGAACUUAAGCAUAUCAUAGUCGGAAGGAAAG